UUAAGCGACUAAGCGUACACGGUGGAUGCCCUGGCAGUCAGAGGCGAUGAAGGACGUGCUAAUCUGCGAUAAGCGUCGGUAAGGUGAUAUGAACCGUUAUAACCGGCGAUUUCCGAAUGGGGAAACCCAGUGUGUUUCGACACACUAUCAUUAACUGAAUCCAUAGGUUAAUGAGGCGAACCGGGGGAACUGAAACAUCUAAGUACCCCGAGGAAAAGAAAUCAACCGAGAUUCCCCCAGUAGCGGCGAGCGAACGGGGAGCAGCCCAGAGCCUGAAUCAGUGUGUGUGUUAGUGGAAGCGUCUGGAAAGGCGCGCGAUACAGGGUGACAGCCCCGUACACAAAAAUGCACAUACUGUGAGCUCGAUGAGUAGGGCGGGACACGUGGUAUCCUGUCUGAAUAUGGGGGGACCAUCCUCCAAGGCUAAAUACUCCUGACUGACCGAUAGUGAACCAGUACCGUGAGGGAAAGG
Molecule: ribosomal RNA, 472 nt
Filed under: Escherichia coli P0305260.1
Lineage: Bacteria; Pseudomonadati; Pseudomonadota; Gammaproteobacteria; Enterobacterales; Enterobacteriaceae
Description: bacterial LSU rRNA
Rfam family: Bacterial large subunit ribosomal RNA
Source: RNAcentral